UUCAAAAUCGAAAAUGAAAGAACAAAUAGCGUUAGCAAUUUUAGCUGGGACCAUUAUUGAGGAAUUGAUUUUUCAUAAUAGAUACAGUUGGUGUAGAAAAUAUAUCAAAACCAAUUCAAACAAAUCAACUAGUUGACUUGGCAAAUUUUUACUACAAGUACCGCAAUCAUUAUCGAAGUUUAUUUUUAUAACUGCAAUCUUCAUUGUGGAAAAUCAUGGACACUUCUAAGAUAAUUUGAAUGCUCAUAAGUGGCUUUAUAGAAAUAGUUAUCAGCUAUAUGUACAGUCUACCAAUUCGUAAUAUGGGAGGAGCUGUACCAAACUACUGGGGUUUUAUCGAUGAAACUAUUAGAGAAAUUUGUUGACGAAGUAUCAUCAAGUUUGAAUGGAAGUCAAUCAAGUAUUUCUUUUUAUGUGAAACCACCAGUAUUGAAAGAUUAUUUUGUUUAACAGAAUUAUGUUAUGUAUUUUUGUACUUUUUACUA
This is a long non-coding RNA of Harmonia axyridis, 485 nucleotides long. RefSeq lists it as uncharacterized. The transcript has 2 exons. The record is from RefSeq and is a predicted model, not a curated record. Lineage: Eukaryota; Metazoa; Arthropoda; Insecta; Coleoptera; Coccinellidae.